RNAcentral lists this ribosomal RNA (146 nucleotides) under uncultured bacterium. Its description in RNAcentral is "partial 16S ribosomal RNA". It matches the Rfam family "Bacterial small subunit ribosomal RNA", at positions 388 to 525 of the family's 1533-position model. The record is from RNAcentral.
GCAGCAACGCCGCGUGGGUGAAGAAGGCCUUCGGGUCGUAAAGCUCUGUCAAGUGGGAAGAAUAGCCUUAAGGGGAAUAUCCUUGGGGUAUGACGGUACCACUGGAGGAAGCACCGGCUAACUCCGUGCCAGCAGCCGCGGUAAUA